Molecule: ribosomal RNA, 301 nt
Filed under: uncultured bacterium
Lineage: Bacteria
Description: partial 16S ribosomal RNA
Rfam family: Bacterial small subunit ribosomal RNA
Source: RNAcentral
CAGCAGCCACGGUAAUACGUAGGGCGCAAGCGUUGUCCGGAAUUAUUGGGCGUAAAGAGCUCGUAGGCGGUCUGUCGCGUCUGGUGUGAAAUCCCGAGGCUCAACCUCGGGCUUGCAUCGGGUACGGGCAGACUAGAGUGCGGUAGGGGAGACUGGAAUUCCUGGUGUAGCGGUGGAAUGCGCAGAUAUCUGGAGGAACACCGAUGGCGAAGGCAGGUCUCUGGGCCGCAACUGACGCUGAGGAGCGAAAGCAUGGGGAGCGAACAGGAUUAGAUACCCCGGUAGUCCCUGUCUCUUAUAA